AUUACUAUGGCCAACCUUAUGUUUGAUGACAUAAUGAAAGGCUCCAAAGUAAGCUGCCGAUCGAGCAUGUAUCUUAUUCACAUGUUUUUGAGUUUUAAAAUGGAUCAAAGAUUGAUGAUCUGUGUGAAUAACAAACUCUUGCCUCAUCAAAUACUACUCCCAAGUUUUAAAAGCCCGGUUAGAAGUAGAUCACUUUUUUCUAGC
RNAcentral lists this long non-coding RNA (204 nucleotides) under Manihot esculenta (cassava). RNAcentral describes it as "long non-coding RNA (MESC_LNC012788)". Lineage: Eukaryota; Viridiplantae; Streptophyta; Magnoliopsida; Malpighiales; Euphorbiaceae. The record is from RNAcentral.